This is a long non-coding RNA of Telopea speciosissima, 328 nucleotides long. RefSeq lists it as uncharacterized. The transcript is spliced from 2 exons. NCBI's taxonomy places the organism in Eukaryota, Viridiplantae, Streptophyta, Magnoliopsida, Proteales, Proteaceae. The record is from RefSeq and is a predicted model, not a curated record.
AGUCUCUCUAGAGAAAUGGCAUUUUUCUUGCGAUUCGCCUAGGACAUCUUUAGCAACCUUCUUAAUACAAGUAGUCAUCUCAUUCCAUAUCGUAUUAGUGUCUCGUUCAAAGUCCCACUUUCCUUGUUUCACCACUUUAUCAAUAAAUGAUUUCAAAGUAUCUCCUUUUAAACUCCACUAUCUUAUCUUAGGGCAAAUAAGCUCACCUUUGUUACGAUUCUGUGUAGUGAGGCACAUAUCCAUGACCACUAAUCUAUGUUGUUUGGUUAGGCUCUCCCUUGGUAUAACUUUGCAAUCCUUACAUAACAAUCAAUCAUGCCUUUUAAUU